Molecule: non-coding RNA, 363 nt
Organism: Halomonas elongata DSM 2581
Lineage: Bacteria; Pseudomonadati; Pseudomonadota; Gammaproteobacteria; Oceanospirillales; Halomonadaceae
Source: Rfam
GGAGUUGGCCAGACAGUCGCCGCCGGUCGCCGUUUUGCGGGAUCGGGGGAGGAAAGUCCGGGCUCCAUAGGGCAGAGUGCCAGGUAACGCCUGGGCGGUGCGAGCCGACGGAAAGUGCAGCAGAGAGUAGACCGCCUACGCCUCCUGCGGGAGGCCGGUAAGGGUGAAAGGGUGCGGUAAGAGCGCACCGCGCGCCUGGUAACAGUGCGUGGCACGGUAAACCCCACUCGGAGCAAGACCAAAUAGGAACCCAAUGGCGUGGCCCGCGCUGGGUUCGGGUAGGUCGCUUGAGAACGCCGGUGACGACGUUCCUAGACGAAUGACUGUCCGAGACAGAACCCGGCUUAUCGGCCGACUCCCUCC